Molecule: non-coding RNA, 14329 nt
Organism: Oryctolagus cuniculus (rabbit)
Lineage: Eukaryota; Metazoa; Chordata; Mammalia; Lagomorpha; Leporidae
Source: RefSeq, a predicted model, not a curated record
CUGAGUCCUCGUUCUUGCUGCCCCUGUGCGUUCUGCCCCUAGUGACAUACUUUCAGUUUGCUUUACAAUCACAAGCUUAACCCUCCAUAAAUAAAGGAUUCAACAAGUAGGACCACCUUCCAACACCAGUACACUUGGGGGACAAAUCGUAUGCAAACCACAGCAAGAGUCAUUCAGUUCUCAUACAUAUCUUGUCAAAACAGAAGAUCUUUGCUGCCAGGAAUAUACUUGAUAAGAGUUUUUAAGAUUGGUCACAGCACAAGAAAAAUUGAGAUGCCCUGAAAUUUACAGUUCAUAAAUGAAAGACACCUGAUAAAAGUUUCUCCAAAUUUGACAACAGUUCUAAGAAUAUGGAGGAAAAGAUGCAUAGGGAACAUAAAGGAAUUCCCAAAGACCACACAGCUUGUUAAGUGGCUGGAUCCAGGUUAAAACCAGUAGGACCAGAGGCAAGAUGUAAUAACCCUGGACCCACAGAGCACCUGGAAGUCACUCUAGCUGUGGAACUUGGGUAGGUGCUACAGUCUGCUGACUUUUGGAGUCCAUAUCCUCUUCACUUCACUUCACUUCUUUAUGAAGUUUGCCCUCGGUUUAUCUCCUGGAAAUGUGGCCUUUUCCUUGUUUUGGUUCCUCGAUCCAUUGGAGGUAAGUGCAAGGGCUCUGUAUUCAGCCAUCUUGAUUCUUCAUUCCUUGAUUCUGCUCCAGGACUGUAACUUUACAUACCUUAAUUCUCUUGAUGAAAAAGGAGCAAGCUUGUGCCCUGGCUUGUGGUUAGGAAAUGCCAUGGACUUUUCUUUCCUUUUCUUCUCCAGUUGACGUGCUUUGCUUCCUCAGUCAGAAAGGACCACGCAAUGGAAGGCGUCUUCAGAAGACUGGGGCAGUAUGAAGUCUUGAAUAACCCAAAAGCAGGAACUCAGAAUGGUCAGAUCUGGAACAAUGACUGGAUUUGUAGUAGCACAGCCACAGCCCUUAGUGUCCUCAGGGACAGUCUGCAGGGAAUUGCUCUUUGGGUGGUCCUCCUUGAUUAGAUUGAUGCAACUCUGAAGAAAGCAGCAUUAUUUUUCUUUUAUUUCUGAAGAAACAGGAAUUCAACCCAAUGUGGGUGCCCUUGCAGUGAGAGGCAACGCAUUUCUAGCCUGCAGGCAAAUUUUGCUGCCCCCCGCACUGUUACCGGCAUAGCUUCCCCAAGUAACUACGCAACUCGCACAAGUAACAUCGCAACUCCUGCAAGUCAUGUUGUAAGCUGAUUCUUUCACUUUGAAAAUGCAGAAACUCAAAAUUUAUUAAAAAGGUAUAAUUAAGAAGUGUGAGACAUCAUGGGUGAGAUUUUUUUUCUCCCAGUACCUGACAUUAGUUUGUUUUGUACACUGUGUUUAUUUUGAAGCUUUUUCCCUCUUAUGUUAGGAAAGAUAUCUGCCAAAUGUAUUAACUAAAUGCAUAUAUUUAUAAAAUAUCACAUGGGACCAGAAACCUUGUAAAAAAUUUGAGAUUCAAGUGAAGGAGUGAUAAAUGUGAAUUUCUAGCCAUGAAUAAAUGUACAAAGAAGGAUAAAGUUUGAAAAUUCAUAAGCUAGGUAGCUACCUCAGAACUAGGAAAAGAAUAAUAAGAAUAAAAAGGAAAAAUAACAGGAAUUGAUAAAAUGGGAAUCAAAUAUAAGUUGAUUCCUUAAAAAGAUUAAUAAAAUUAUAUAAGUUUUUCCCAUUCAUAUAUACAUUACAUUUCUUGUACUGCGUAUAUUAGCUACCACAAGUCAAAGAAACAUGAUAUUUGUCUUUUUGGGUCUAGUUUAUCUCACUGAGAAUGGUGAUCUCCAGGUGCAUCUAUCUUAUUGCAAAAGAGAGAAUUUCAUAUUUUUAAUGGCUGAAUAGUAUUCUAUAAUAUCCAUGUACCACAUUUUCUUUAUCCAGUCAUCAGUUGAUGGACAUCUGGGUUGAUUGCCUAUCUUAGCUAUUGUGAAUGAAGCUGCUGUAAGCGUGGGGGUAAAGACAACUUUUUCAUAUGCCAAUUUCAUUUCCUUUGAGUAAAUUCCCAGGAGUGGGAUGGCUAGGUCAUAUGGUAGAUCAAUUUUCAGGUCUUUGAAGAAUCUCCAUACUGUCUUCCAUAAUGGUUGUACUAGCUUCCAUUUCUACCAACAGUGUAUUAGGGUACCUUUCUGUCUACAUCCUCACCAAUUUUGUUAUUUUUUGAUUUUUUGGGUGAUAGCCAUUCUAACUGGGAUGAGAUGAAACCUUAUUGUGGUUUUUAUUUGCAUUUCCCUGGUUGCUAGUGAUACUGAAUACUUUUUCAUGUGUCUCUUGGCCAUUUGUAUUUAACCCUUUGGAAAAUGCCUGUUCACUUCCUUUGCCCAUUUCUUUUUUUUUUAUUUUAAAAAAUUUUAAUUUUAGUUAAUUUUAACAGAUUCAAUAUAAUUUAUAAAUACAAGUCUAAGAUUCCUUGCCCAUUUAUUAACUGGAUUGUUUUGUAAUUGCUGAGUUUCUUGAGCUCCUUAUAUAUUUUAGAUAUUAAUUCAGUAUCAGAUGACUUGUUUGCAAAUAUUUUCUCCCAUUCUGUUGUUUACCUCUUCACUCUGUGCUGUGUUUCCUUUGCUGUGCAGAAGCUUCUUAGUUGGUUUAACCCAGUUUGUCUAUUUCUGCUUUUAUUGCCUGUGCUUCUGGGAUCUUAUUAAAGAAAUCUUUGUCUGUGCCAGUAUCUUGAAGUGUUUCCCCUAUGCUUUCCUCUAUUAAUUUAAGGUAUUAGGUUUAGAUCCUUCAUCCAUUGUGAGUUCAUUUUUGUGUAGGGUAUAAAGUAGCAUCUUGUUUCAUAUUUCUGCAUGUGGAGAGAUCCAGUUUUUUUCAGCACCAUUUGUUGAAGACACUGUCCUUUUUCCAUGGAGUUAUUCUUUUAGCUCAUUUGUCAAAGAUUAGUUGGUUGUGAUGAAUGGAUUAAUUUCUGGACUUUCUAAUCUGUCCCAUUGGUCUACAUGUCUAGUUUUGUGCUAGUACUAGGCUGUUUUAAUUAUAACUGCUCUGUAAUAUAUCUUGAAAUCUGAUAUUGGGAUGCCUCUGGCUUUGUUUUUAUUGUUUAAGAUUGCUUUAACUAUUUGGGGUUUCUUUGUUUCCAUUUGAAUAUUAGGGUGGUUACAAGAAGGAUGUCCUUUGUGUUUUGAUUGGGAUUGCAUUGAAUUUGUAAAUUGUUUGUGGUAGUAUGGACAUUUUGGUGCUAUUAAUUCUUCCUACCCAUGAGCAUGGAGAGGUUUUCCAUUUUUUUGUGUCUUUUAUUUCUUUCUGUAAUGUUUUGUUAUUUUCAUUGUAGAGGUCUUUCAUGUCUUUGGUUAAAUUUAUUCCAGGGUAUUUAAAUUUUUUGUUGCUAUUGUGAAUGGAUCUGAUCUUAAAAGUUCUGUCUCAGCCAUGGCAUUGUAAUUAUGUACCUCAAAAUUUCAAUAGGGCCAACUGGGGGCACAAUAGGUAAUGCCACUGCCUGUGAUGAUGGCAUCACAUAUGUGUACUGUUUAUAUCCUGCUGCUCCACUUCUUUCUGAUCCAGCUCUCUACGAAUGUGCUUGAGAAUGAAGUGGAAAAUGGCCCAAGAACUUGGGACACUGCCACAAACUUGGGAGAUCUGGAUGAAGAUCCUGGCUUUAACCUGGCCCAGCCCUGGCCUAGUCCUGGCCCAGCCCUGGCCUAGCCCUGGCCCAGCCCUGGCCUAGCCCUGGCCUUUUGGGGAGUGAACCAGCAGAUGGUAGAUAUCUCUGUCUCUUCCUCUCUCUCUGUACCUCUGCCUUUCAGGUAAAUAAAUAGAACUUAAAAAAACUUAGCAUCCACUUACUGUGUAUGGGAGAAAUGUUGAAAUACUUAUUAUGGAGCAAGCAUAAAUAGCAACCAACAUUGUAGUUAUAAAUGUUUUCUUGUCUUAAGGAAGUCUUGUCUGUUUACCCAGAUUUGUGCUUCUGGUAAGUAAGGAUAGGUCUAAUUAUAGUGUUUUACUGGUAUUAAUAUAGAGUAUGAUGCUAUGGAAAUAACAGAGGCUUGAUAAAUGAUUUUUGAUUGGCUUGUUGGUUGACUAAAUAAAUGUAAGUUAGCUUUAACAAUGAAAAUUGCAUUUGUCUUAUUCAUGGAAACUGCUUUGCCAGAGAGCAUAAUUUUGGCUAUAAUUUACGGUAUUUCUAACAACAAAACUCUUGGGAGAAAGUCUGAAAUGCAUCUGCAUUGUGACUGACUCAUAUGACAGUGUCUAACGUAAGGAAAAUACCUGUUUUCUGAGUUUGGAAUGCCUACCAGAAUAAGCAGGAGACAACAGAGGGAAAUACUCAAUUUAUCCUCAUCUCAUUCUCCACUACAGAAAUCCAUGUCUCUCACUUGAUGUGAUGUCUAGACAUAAUCACAUGUGACCAAGCAGAGUUCGAUGAACAGAAUGUGGGUUGAUGUGAUUAAAUUCCUCAAUAGAUAAGAAGUUUUUUUCCCACCUCGUCCAAUGUUGAUUAAAAGACAUACUAUGGUGAGGAGAAUUAAAAUGAAGCAUACUGCUAUCCUGACACUAGGCCAGCUACCUGAUAGUCAGAUCAGCACCCAGGGAUUAAUGCCGUCUGUCCAGUACAUUCCUUGUUUUGAAGCUGGGCAUCAGGGAGCAAAAUUUAUCAUGUCUAUGAAGAAACCCCAGGGACAGAUGUGGUACAGACAAGUCUUAAAGCAUUUGGUGAGAGUAUCCCAGAUAUUCUUAAAGUGAUGUGUCAAACAUUAAAUUAAGUGAAGCAGAGGGUUUGUGAUUUUUCUCUUUCCUAAGUGGAAUGUCAAAGAUAGGUUACGGGAGUUAAGGCUACCAGUUUGAAUGUUUGAGUAAAGCUCUGUCUUUAAGUAUUUGUCAAGGGAAGAAAAAGUUGUUUGAGGCUUGGCAGCAACUUCACAUACAAGUUAGCAGAGAAUAAACUAUUUCCUUUUUGAAAGUCAGAGUUACACAGAGAGAAAAGGAGAGCCAGGGAGAGAGAGGUCUUCCAUGCUCUGGUUCACUCCCCAAAUGGGUGCUAUAGCUGGAGCUGUGCUGAUCCGAAGGCAGGAGCCAGGAACUUCUUCCAGGUCUCCCACAUGAGUGCAGGGACUGAAGUGCUAUCUUCCACUGCUUUCCCAGGCUAUAGCAGAGAGCUGGAUCAGAAGUGGAGGAGCCAGGACUCGAACCCGUGUCCAUAUGGGAUGCCGGCACUGCAGGUGGUGGCUUUACCCUCUAUGCCACAGCACUGGCCCUAGAAUAAACUGUUUCCAAGUUGCACAACUGAGAAGCUGAAAGGACCUAUGAAAGACCUUUCUAGCUGUUAUCAAAAAUAGGAAUUGAAACCAUUGAAGAAUUAUGCCUACAUCUUGACUCAGAGCAUACUUGAAUUUAGCAUUUCACUUAUCAUGGCCUUCUUGAACAUAAUACCACAUCAAUGAUUCUCUACUCCCCAAAUAUGGUACCUGAUGCCACCUAUUGCUUUUGCAAGCAGAAUUGAAAGCAGAAUGGGUUCCAGAUUGCAAGUGUAUACUAAGGCAGGUGAGUUGGUUGGAGAAACUUUCUUCCAGAGGUGUUUGUGUCUGUGGAGAAGGGAGUUGAUGAGGGUACCAGUGGCCAACUCAGACAGACUUGGGCUGGAAUACACUUCCUGACUGGCCCACCUCGUCUGAAAUGCUCCGGUUUCUCCUCAGCCAUACCCGGUCAAGAAUAACUGUAGUCCUCAGUGAACCCUUCCUAAUCUACUGACUCUAGGGCAGAGGAAAGGGAUCAGUGAUGGGGAGUGAAUGUGUUCACUGUGGCUUGUCCUUUUCCCUUCACCUUGACAAAUCCAUAGAAAACAGCUCUACAGUCCAGCAUGAACAGUUUUCCCCAACGUGUGGCCCUCCAACUACCCAUAGUAGCAUCAUUUGACAACCUUUAAAAUGCAUGUUCCUAAACCCUGUGCCAAACCUUCAAAAUUAGAAUAUCUGGGAGCAGGCCUGGGAACAUGCAUUUUACUGAUUCCCCCAAGGAGUUUUGAAAUUUCCUGAACUUUUGACUUAGGAGUUUGGGUUCCCUGUUAUUCUUGAAGUUGCAGGUGUUAAGGCCAGUGCUUCUUGAAGAUGAGGCUGAGGGGAGGAGGAAGUUGGUAGAAGAAGGGAUAGAGACUGGACUGAUCAGAAUGAUGCUCUUCUGGUCAUCAAAUGUGGGACUUAGCGAGAAGCUGGAGGGCAGAGAUUACAGGCUGGUAAUAUUUAAAAUAUAGUUUUAUAAAAUAUAUAAACUAGAUUCUAUUUGGAUUAUGCAGCAUUUACCAGUAUUAAAAAUCAAAAUACCUUUAUAUUAGUCAUGUGCUAUUCAGUCCUCCACAGCCUGUCACUGCCUGCUCAUUUCAUUUCAUUUCCUUGCCUCUAAAGGCACCUGAUCAUCAACUCCAAUUCAACAUCAAAUGAUCUAUUGCCUUUUUAUUUUUUAAAAAAAUUACAACUUAGUAUUCAAUCUCCAAAUGCCCACACCAAUCAGCACUGGGCCAGGCCGAAACCAGGCACCUGGAAUUCAGUCUGUGUUUCCAAGGUGGGUGGCAGGGUCACAAGCGCCUGAACAAUCAUCUGCCACCUCCCAGGGUAGACAUUAGCUGGAGCUGGAUCAGAAGCAGAGUAGUCAUGGCUUGAACCAGGCACUCUGAAAUGGUAUGCAGGAGUCCUACAUUGUGACUUAACCACUGGCUAACCACCCGCCUUUCUUUCCUUGUUUUUAAAUUAUAGAAUAUGAACAAACAUGUUCAUAAAAGGACAAACAGGCUUUUUUCCUUUGAUUUGUCUUUAAACCAAAAUUACCUUUAUUUUCCUAACUGGCUGGAAAACACCAAUGACAGAGUACCUAGCAAAGUGCUUUAAUGCAUUGCAUGCCUCAAUAAAUAAUUUUUGUGUGAACAAAAAGUAAUGUGAUGCAGCUGAUGAUUUGUUUGAGGGCUAUUUUCUCUUACUCCUUCUAUCAUCUCAGUCCUUCCACCACAAAAUGCAAGGGAGAAUUUCAAAAUCUAGGGUCUACGUUCACCUGUCUUGAGUGGGACAGGUACAGGCCUGAUUUUUUCUCCACCUUUGUUGAAAAUUGUAGAUGAAUUAAAGGAACAGUUUUCAGGUCUAAGAGCCUUGAUGUAUACUGUUUAUUCCUGAAUGUUUCCAUGUAAACAUUUUAAUUGAUGGCAAAUCUGUUUGUUGUGUUUGUCAAGUUAAUGUAAACUGUAGUCUGUUAGGCCUUGAGAUGAGUCUACUAAAUUUUUCAGAUGUUUUUUAUUUCCUCAGCUAAGAGCUGGAUUUGAACCAGAGCUUAGGGGUGAAAGGGCAAUAUGUAAUAUACAGACAUGGAGUUCAACAUAUGAAAUAAAAUAAUGUAAUGUUUUUAAUAUUCAGGAUGAAAAAAGCAGCAAUAAAACAUUGUGGAAGGAGGAAAACGUGAAUACCUGUAUAUUUGAAUUUUAAAUGCCUGCAGAUGUUGAAUUUUAAUCAGAGCAUGUCAGAUUCUGACUCUGACAAAGGCAGAAAUGUGAGAUGUGUUUUUGUGAAUUGCUUCCACAUUCCAUGCUUCAGAUUCUAUUGCAUAUAGCACUGUCUCGUCAUAUAUCUAUGUAAAGUGCCAGCAUCCAUUGACUUAGCGUGUGCGUGAUGGCUAACACAUAAAGCAGUGUGCUGUGAAGAAAAGACCUCUUCUCUCUCUGUCUCUCUUUCUUCAUAGCCUAGAUUCUCUGUGACCUCGUGAUAAGGAAGGCAUUUAACCUCUCUCUGUUUCAGUUUCUCUAAUCAUAAAAUAGGAACCAGUAUUCUUGUUUCUUCUGUAGCUCUAUGAGUGUUGUGAGGCCUAUUUGAAAUAGUAACUGAUCUGUACACUUAGACUAUAUAACAAAAUCAGGUAUACAUUCAUUUGUGUGUCUGUAUUUAUUUAGAGAGAUUGAAAGAGCAAAAGGAAACUAGUGAAAACUAAACAGAUAUUUCUUCAUAAAAUCUAAAUAUGUAUUGGAAUCUAAAUUUAAGGUACUUUUAGAUUCUGUAUGUAUUUGUGAGGUAGUUCCUAUUAUUCUGUUUUUUUGCAUCAUAAUCCCUAAAGCAAUGAUAGUCAAUGACCUUAAGUUUUACACUGAAAUUUUAUUACUGAAAACAAUGGAUUUGUAUAUAUAUGCAUAUAUAUAAUAUAGAUAAAAAUAUCUGUAAUUUCCUAUUUUUCUCUGAACAUUUUGAAUGUCAUAGGAUAAGGAAAGGAUAAAACGUUUACUUGCUUGAAGAUCAAUAGAAGAUCAGUACUCCUUGUUUUCUUCUGUCUUGCACCUUUCUUGAAAAAAAACCUCAUAGCCAUGAGGAUCAGUCUGAGUCCAUUUUGUGUUGCUGUAACAGACCACCAAAUACUGAGCAAUUCAUAGUGAACUGACAUUCAUUGGCUCACAGGUUUGGGAAGUUUAAGAUCGUUGUCCAACAUCUGGAUAGUGUCUUCUUGCUACAUCAUGCCAUGGUGGAAGGGUGAAAGAAGAGCCUGAGAGGAGGUGGGUGUGAACCCACUCCCUCGGUACCAGACCUGCUCCCAGAAUAAGGAUAUUAAUCUGUUCAUGAGGCUGGAACUCACAUGACCUAAUCACCUCUUAUGUACCACUUUGUAAUGCUGUUACCAUGGCAGUUAUGUUUCAACAUGAGUUUGGGUGGGGACAAACAUUCAGACGCACAGCCAGGUCUCUUAGGCUAAAUGGCUGUAUAUCCUUGAUCCUUUUACAUCUUUACUCAUUCAGUGCUUUCACUUUGAGGCCUUUCUGCUGCCUUCUUAGGGAAUCUGUGUGGGGUUGUUGGAAAUAACUAAGGGAUUUUUGAGACCAGCCAAGCUGAUUAUUAAAUGUUGAUUUUAUCUGUGAUAUAGCCCAUUUCUAAAUAUUUCGAGUAUUCUGGUAUACACACUGAUGUUUAGGAAGAAAGAGAAAGGAAAUGUCUAGGAUGAUGUGGUAUAGAACAAGGAUAGCACAUCCAGUACAGUAAGGUAGUCUGUCAUAGUGGCAGUGAAGAGGAAAUUGUAGGAGUCUAUGCAGUUCAUCCUACCACCUCACUGAAAUAUUAUGUAUAUUUUUGUUUAGUCCACAAAUUUUUAUUUUUAGCCACUGCACUUAUUUGUCUCAUCAAAUAUUUUCACUAUAUUGCAAUGGAGAGAUUUUUUUUUCACCAGUAAGUCUUCUCAAAAAUAUUUCAGAUAGUGGCCAGCACCCUGGCUCGCUUGGUUAAUCCUCCUCCUGUGGUGCUGGCAUCCCAUAUGGGCGCUGGAUUCUAGUCCAGGUUGCUCCUCUUCCAGUCCAGCUCUCUGCUGUGGCCCAUGAGGGCAGUGGAGGAUGGCCCAGGUGCUUGGGCACCUGCACCCGCAUGGGAGACCAGGAGGAAGCACCUGGCUCCUGACUUCAGUUCGGCGUAGCUCUGGCCAAAGCAGCCAUUUGGGGAGUGAACCAAUGGAAGGAAGACCUUUCUCUUUCUCUCUCUCUCUCUCUCUCUCUCUCUCUCACUGUCUAUAAUUCUACCUGUCAAAUACAAAAAAAAUAUUUCAGAUAAAAAUGGUCUGAGUGGAAAAUAAAUCAUGCUUCUAUCCUCACAGAUUAAUCUUCCUAAAAUCAUCUUUUUUAUUUAUAAAAGGUGAACAAAUUUCAUGUCUUCCAUGUAUACAGAUUUAGGAGCAUAGUAAUACUUCCUACCCUAACCUCCCUCCCACCCUCCCUCCUGCUUUUCUUAUUCUUUCUUCUAAUUUUUGCAAUGACAUACUUUCAAUUUAUUUCAUAAUCACAAGAUUAACCCUCCCUAAAUAUGGAAUUCAACAAAUAGUAAGAAGAAAAAAAACACUUUUCCUCAACACAAGAGACAAGGAUAGUAAAUAAUAAUCAAUUCUCAAAAUGGCAAUUUUGCUUAUAUAUGUUACUUUUUUUGUACUUUAUUAAUUACCACAGAUCAGAAAAACAUAUGUGUGUUUUGGGACUGGCUUAUUUCACUAAAUAUAAUAAUUUUCAGUUGCAUCCACUUUGUUGCAACAGACAGGAGUCCAUUCUUUUUUACAGCUGAAUAGUAUUCCAUGGUGUACAUAUACCACAUUUUCUUUAGCUAGUCAUCGGUUGAUGGACAUCUGGAUUGAUUCGAUAUCUUAGCUUUUGUGAAUUGAGCUUCAAUAAACAUGGAGGUGCAGAUAUCUCUUUCACUUCAUUUGAGUAAAUUCCCGGGAGUGGGAUGGCUGGGUUAUAUCAUAGAUCUAUUUUCAGAUUUCUGAGGUCUCUCCAUACUGUCUUCCACAACGGCUAGUAAUUUCAUGGUAACAGGUUGUAGAUUUAGAUCCUUGAUCCAUUUUGAGUUACUUUUUGUAAGGUGUAAGGUAGGGGUCUUGUUUCAUACUUCUGCAUGUGGAGAUCCAGUUUUCCCAGCACCAUUUGUUGAAGAGACUGUCCUUUCUCCAGGGAUUGAUUUUAGCUACUUUGCCAAAGAUAAGUUAGUUGUAGAUACAUAAAUUAAUUUCUCAAGUUUCUAAUCUUUUCUUUGAUCCACAUGUUUAUUUUUGUGCUAGUACCAGUCUGUUUUGAUUAUAACUGCCUUGUAGUAUGUUUUGAAAUCUGGUAUUGUGUUACAUCUGGCUUUGUUUUUGUUGUUUAAGAUUGCUUUAGCUAUUCGGGGUCUCUUGUGUUUCCAUAUUAAUUUUAGCAUCAUUUUUUCUAGAUCUAAGAAGAAUGUUAAUAUUCUGAUUGGGCUCACAUGAAUCUUUAAAAUGCUUUCUAUAGUAUAGACAUUUUGAUUAUAUGAAUUCUUCUAGUCAAUGAACAUGGAAGUUUUUUUCCCAUAUUUUUGUGUCUUCUAUUUCUUUCUUUAAUAUUUUAUAAUUUUUGUUAUAGAGAAUUUUAACAUCCUUGGUUAAAUUUAUUCCAAAGUAAAUUUCUUUGGAGCUAUUGUGAGUGGAGCUGAUCUUACAAAUUCUUUCUCAGCAGUGGCAUUGUCUGUGUAUACAAAGGCUGUUGAGUUUUGUGUGUUGGCUUUAUAUCUUGUAACUUUACAAAACUCUCUUAAGUUCCAACAGUCUUACUGGAGUCUUUUGGUUCUCCUGUAUGUAGAAUCAUGUCAUCUGUAAACAGGGAUAAUUUGACUUCCCUUUAUCCAAUAUUUGUCCCUUUGAUUUCUUUUCCUCCCUAAUGAUCUGUCUAAAACUUCCAGGACUAUAUUGAAUAGCAAUGGUGAAACUGAACAUCCUUGUCUGGUCCUGUAUCUUAGUGGAAAUGCUUUCAACUUUUCCCCAUUCAAUAUAAUGCUGGCUUGAGUUUGUCAUAUAUUGCCUUAAUUGUGUUGAGGAUGUUCCUUCUGUAUUUAAUUUGUACUCUGAUUAUCAGAACUUACAAAAAUUUAUUUAUAGGACAAAAUACAGAAUUAUACGUUGAAGUCUUUCCCCCAUGGACCCAGCUAUCUUCCAGACUUCUCUGAAAUAUUUCUGCUACAGUUAAACAGUAACAUUUUCUUUGCUUUCUUUUUUUUAUUAUUUUUUUAUUUAGUAAAUAUAAAUUUCCAAAGUACAGUUUAUGGAGUACAAUGGCUACCCCCCAUAAUUUCCCUCCCACUCGCACCCCUCCCAUCUCCUGCUCCCUCUCCCAUUCCAUUCACAUCAAGAUUCAUUUUCAAUUAUCUUUAUAUACAGAAGAUCAAUUUAGUAUAUAUUAAGUAAAGAUUUCAUCAGUUUGCACUCAUACAGAAACACAAAGUGUAAAAUACUGUUUGAGUACUAGUUAGAGCAUUAAAUCACAAUGUACAACACAUUAAGGACAGAUCCCACAUGAGAAGUAAGUACGCAGUGACUCCUGUUGUUGACUUAACAAUUUGACACUCUUGUUUAUGGUGUCAGUAAUCUCCCUAGGCUCUAGUUAUGAGUUGCCAAGGCUAUGGAAGCCUUUUGAGUUCGCCGACUUCGAUCUUAUUCCGACAGGGUCAUAGUCAUGGAAGUACUCUCCUCCCUGCAGAGAAAGGUACCUCCUUUUUUGAUGCCCCGUUAUUUCCACUGGGGUCUCACUCGCAGAUCUUUCAUUUAUGUCGUCUUUUUUUUUUUUUCCAGAGUGUCUUGGCUUUCCAUGCCUAAAAUACUCUCAUGGGCUCUUCAGCCAUAUCCAAAUGCCUUAAGGGCUGAUUCUGAGGCCAGAGUGCUAUUUAGGACAUCUGCCAUUCUAUGAAUCUGCUGUGUAUCCUGCUUCCCAUGAUGGAUUGUUCUCUCCCUUGUUGAUUCUGUCAGUUAGUAUUAGCAGACACUAGUCUUGUUUGUGUGAUCCCUUUGACACUUAGACCUAUCAGUGUGAUCAAUUGUGAACUGAGAUUGAUCACUUGGACUAGUGAGAUGGUAUUGGUUCAUGCCACCUUGAUGAGAUUGUAUUGGAAUCCCCUGGCACGUUUCUAACUCCACCAUUUGGGGCAAGUCUGAUUGAGCAUGUCCCAAAUUGUACAUCUCCCUCUCUUAUUCCCACUCAUAUUUAACAGGGGUCACUUUUCAGUUAAAAUUUAAACACCUAAGAAUAAUUGUGUGUUAAUUACAGAGUUCAACCAAUAGUACUAGAACAGAACAAAAAAAUACUAAAAUGGAUAGAGUAUUGCAUUGUACAUCAACAGUCAGGACAAGAGCUGAUCAAGUCACUGUUUCUCAUAGCAUCCAUUUCACUUCAACAGGUUUCCCCUUUGGUGAUCAGUUAGUUGUCGCUGAUCAGGGAGAACAUAUGAUAUUUGUCCCUUUGGGACUGGCGUAAUUCACUCAGUAUAAUGUUUUCCAGAUUCCUCCAUCUUGUUGCAAAUGACCGGAUUUCAUUGUUUUUGACUGCUGUAUAGUAUUCUAUAGAGUACAUGUCCCAUAAUUUCUUUAUCCAGUCUACUGUUGAUGGGCGUUUGGGUUGGUUCCAGGUCUUAGCUAUUGUGAAUUGAGCUGCAAUAAACAUUAAUGUGCAGACAGCUUUUUUUGUUUGCCAAUUUAAUUUCCUUUGGGUAAAUUCCAAGGAGUGGGAUGGCUGGGUUGUGUGGUUGCUGAGGUUGUGUCCACUUAAGAAUCAUUCUUCUGGUUAUCUUCUACUUGUCAGUUUUCUAAAUUCCAUGGGUUCUGGAAGAUAGAUUGAUGUUUCCAUCUUUCCUGCACAGGCUGUCAUUACUACCCCCUACACUGACUUGUGGCAUCUCCUCAGUAUCUCUACUUCAUUGUUGAAUGAGCUAUUCUGGGAGACUGACUUCUUUGUCAUUAGAAAGAGUGAAGAUGAAAUUGUUAAAAGCGUUCACCUAUGGAAUGAGAUCAUGGAAAGAGCAUGCCAUUGCUAUUUCACAAAAUCAUUUUGGAAACUUAUAUUUAAGCUCUGAGUCUAGAUAUGGCCAUAGAUGACUAUGAAUGGCUUUUAACAUGGUAAAGUAACGUCUGAGCUUCCAUCAGCAACUCAGUCAUUGCUGCACACAUACUUAUUCCAUCAUCUUCCCUGUAGAAUUUUAGGAAUGUCUUGUCUCAAGGAGUUUCAAACCUGCUUUGACAGGUUUGUGCAAACAAAAUACUCUGCAGGCAAAACUUGAUUAAAAGGCAGUACUUCUAUAUACUGUCAUAUGCUGGGCUAGCACUGUGGCACAGUGGGUUAAAGCCCCAGCCUUCAGAGCCAGCAUCCCACAUGGGUGCCAGUUCUAGUCCCGGCUGCUCCUCUUCCACUCCAGCUCUCUGCUAUGGCCUGAGAAAGCAGUAGAAGAUGGCCCAAGUCCUUGGGCCCCUACACCCGUGUGGGAGACCCGGAAGAAGCCCCUGGCUCCUGGCUUCAGAUCAGCUCAGCUCUGGCCAUUGCGGUCAUUUGGGGAAUGAACCAUUCGAAUGGAAGACCUCUCUCUCUCUGGCUCUAUCUCUCUCUGUAACUCUGUCUUUCAAAGAAAUAAAAUAAUUCUUAAAAAAUUUACAAAAAUAAAAAAACCUGUCAUAUGCAAAGCAAAUGAAUCAAGGCUUUCUGAUUUCAGAGGUCUUUUAAGUAUUACCUGCUGUUUCAUCUGUUUGGAUAUCUUGUCAAAGUACAUGGCAAGACCUUUCUAAAGUCUCUUGUGUGGCAAGAAGUUUCUGUUUGGCUGCAGACAGUGCAUUAUACAGUCCUUCUGAGGACAUGACGAGAGGGUGGGAUACGUCACCAUAUGCUUGGGAAUCCUUCCUAGAUCACUCAUAGCUUUCACCAUGUUUCUUUUAUUGUCAGUGAUUACAUGAUCUUCUUCUCAACUGAUUGUUUCAUUCUAUAAAUAUUUCUUUAAUCGGAUUCAUUAAGUUAGCUGUGCGACACCCAGAAAUCUCUUGGUAGCCAAGAAAAUCAGAAGCAGAGUUGAAUUUAUCAUUAAUCUCUGUGUCCGUUAAACUUGAAAAAAAAAAAA